Molecule: non-coding RNA, 570 nt
Organism: Pelobates cultripes (western spadefoot toad)
Lineage: Eukaryota; Metazoa; Chordata; Amphibia; Anura; Pelobatidae
Source: the annotation of a GenBank genome assembly
GGCUUCUGACAGAAAAUGGGUGCGCAGACCCUUUUAAAGGCAUUAUUACAUCAUUGAAGAAAAUCAAGAUAACAGCAAAUAGACACUAUUGAUUGGUCCAGGUGUUAAGUGGUUAGUUAGGUACCCUCCUAUCAAGAGGUGAUGUCAUCCUUGACACGGGAGUGGACACAAGAUGUAGGCGCCAUCUUGUUAGCACGAGGUGUUCACUCGAUGGGAGGGGUGCUUUGGCAGCCAUCCAUUUAGAGUGUAGCUGGCACGGUUAGUUUCUCAAGGUUAAGUUUCAAGGAUUUUAGUAAAUACACAUUUUAUCAAAGCUAUUUCUUGCUGGCAUGCAAAUUCUAUGUUCUAUAGACAAAGCUUCCUUGUAAAACUAUGGGGGCCUCUUAGAGGUAUAGCAAGAGGAUUUAAAGGGGCCUUACAGAUUUAUAGAGGCCUAAUAAUUCUACAACAGUCCCCCCUAAAAUGUUAUUUGCUAAAAGACAAAACUUUAUUUGUUAGUAUCAGAAGAAGUAUUAGCCCAAAGACACAGAAACCCCAUGACCGCUGACUUAGUGUUAAUGCAAAGUGCAA